GGGGAAUAUUGCACAAUGGGCGAAAGCCUGAUGCAGCGACGCCGCGUGAGGGAUGACGGCCUUCGGGUUGUAAACCUCUUUCGCUCAUGGUCAAGCCGCAGCUUUGGGUUGUGGUGAGGGUAGUGGGUAAAGAAGCGCCGGCUAACUACGUGCCAGCAGCCGCGGUAAUACGUAGGGCGCGAGCGUUGUCCGGAAUUAUUGGGCGUAAAGGGCUUGUAGGCGGUUGGUCGCGUCUGCCGUGAAAUCCUCUGGCUUAACUGGGGGCGUGCGGUGGGUACGGGCUGACUUGAGUGCGGUAGGGGAGACUGGAACUCCUGGUGUAGCGGUGGAAUGCGCAGAUAUCAGGAAGAACACCGGUGGCGAAGGCGGGUCUCUGGGCCGUUACUGACGCUGAGGAGCGAAAGCGUGGGGAGCGAACAGGAUUAGAUACCCUGGUAGUCCACGCUGUAAACGUUGGGCACUAGGUGUGGGGGCCACCCGUGGUUUCUGCGCCGUAGCUAACGCUUUAAGUGCCCCGCCUGGGGAGUACGGCCGCAAGGCUA
This 542-nucleotide ribosomal RNA is filed under the name uncultured bacterium. RNAcentral's name for it is "bacterial SSU rRNA". It matches the Rfam family "Bacterial small subunit ribosomal RNA", at positions 356 to 896 of the family's 1533-position model. The record is from RNAcentral.